CGGUAAUACGGAGGGGGCGAGCAUUGUUCGGAAUUAUUGGGCGUAAAGGGCAUGUAGGCGGUUCGGUAAGUUAAAGGUGAAAUGCCAGGGCUUAACCCUGGAGCUGCUUUUAAUACUGCCAGACUAGAGACCGGGAGAGGAUAGCGGAAUUCCUAGUGUAGAGGUGAAAUUCGUAGAUAUUAGGAGGAACACCAGUGGCGAAGGCGGCUAUCUGGUCCGGUACUGACGCUGAGGUGCGAAAGCGU
Molecule: ribosomal RNA, 245 nt
Filed under: uncultured Anaplasma sp.
Lineage: Bacteria; Pseudomonadati; Pseudomonadota; Alphaproteobacteria; Rickettsiales; Anaplasmataceae
Description: partial 16S ribosomal RNA
Rfam family: Bacterial small subunit ribosomal RNA
Source: RNAcentral